CACGUAGGGGGCAAGCGUUGUCCGGAUUUAUUGGGCGUAAAGAGCUCGUAGGCGGUUCGGUAAGUUGGGUGUGAAACCUCCAGGCUCAACCUGGAGACGCCACCCGAUACUGCUGUGACUAGAGUCCGGUAGGGGAGCGUGGAAUUCCUGGUGUAGCGGUGAAAUGCGCAGAUAUCAGGAGGAACACCAGCGGCGAAGGCGGCGCUCUGGGCCGGAACUGACGCUGAGGAGCGAAAGCGUGGGUA
RNAcentral lists this ribosomal RNA (245 nucleotides) under uncultured Iamia sp. RNAcentral describes it as "partial 16S ribosomal RNA". It matches the Rfam family "Bacterial small subunit ribosomal RNA", at positions 524 to 767 of the family's 1533-position model. Lineage: Bacteria; Bacillati; Actinomycetota; Acidimicrobiia; Acidimicrobiales; Iamiaceae. The record is from RNAcentral.